CAGUUAACACAAUAAGUAAUCCACCUGGGGAGUACGGCCGCAAGGUUGAAACUCAAAGGAAUUGACGGGGGCCCGCACAAGCAGUGGAGUAUGUGGUUUAAUUCGAAGCAACGCGAAGAACCUUACCAGGUCUUGACAUCGGAUGCAUAGCCUAGAGAUAGGUGAAGCCCUUCGGGGCAUCCAGACAGGUGGUGCAUGGUUGUCGUCAGCUCGUGUCGUGAGAUGUUGGGUUAAGUCCCGCAACGAGCGCAACCCUUAUCUUCAGUAGCCAUCAUUCAGUUGGGCACUCUGGAGAGACUGCCGUGGAUAACACGGAGGAAGGUGGGGAUGACGUCAAAUCAUCAUGCCCCUUAUGUCUUGGGCUACACACGUGCUACAAUGGCUGGUAACAAAGUGACGCGAAACGGCGACGUUAAGCAAAUCACAAAAACCCAGUCCCAGUUCGGAUUGUAGUCUGCAACUCGACUACAUGAAGCUGGAAUCGCUAGUAAUCGCGAAUCAGCAUGUCGCGGUGAAUACGUUCCCGGGCCUUGUACACACCGCCCGUCACACCAUGGGAGUUGGAAGCACCCGAAGUCGGUGACCUAACCGUAAGGAAGGAGCCGCCGAAGGUGAAGCCAGUGACUGGGGUGAAGUCGUAACAAGGUAACC
Molecule: ribosomal RNA, 651 nt
Filed under: uncultured bacterium
Lineage: Bacteria
Description: bacterial SSU rRNA
Rfam family: Bacterial small subunit ribosomal RNA
Source: RNAcentral